Molecule: long non-coding RNA, 667 nt
Organism: Bubalus bubalis (water buffalo)
Lineage: Eukaryota; Metazoa; Chordata; Mammalia; Artiodactyla; Bovidae
Exons: 3
Source: RefSeq, a predicted model, not a curated record
GUGAAGAUACUGAAAUCGCCUUCUUCCAUCUCCCCAAACUUACCCACAGCUAUCUCCAGCCAAGAACAUGGAGAGGAAGAAGAGUUGCACGUUUCACCCCCAGGAACCACGAGGCCGGUCUGCACUCCUGCGAAUCCAGAAAAGACCCAGCAAGCAGUGUGCCUCUCUCUUUGUGAAGAGGGAGAGACACCAGGGAUGAAAAUACACAGAGGAAAGGCCAUGUGAAAAGUUAGCCAUCUGCCAGCCUAGCAGAGAUGCCUCAGAAGAAACCAAACCUACUGACACCUGGAUCUUGGACAUCUAGCCUCCAGAAAUGUGAGAAAAUAAAUUUCUGUUGCUUGAGCCAUGAGGUCUGUGGUAAAAAGACAUACUUCAUUGUAUUGCACUUUGCAGACAUGUUUUUUACAGAUGGAAAGUUUGUGGCAACCCAUUUGUCAACACCAUUUUCCCAGUAGCAUUUGCUCACUUCGUGUCUCUGUAUAACAUUUUGAUAAUUCUCACAAUAGUUCAAAUUUUUCACUAUUAGUAUAUUUGUUAUGGUGAUCUGUGAUUGAUCAGUGAUCUUUGAUGUUACUGUUAUAAUUGCUUUAGCAUUUUUUACCAAUCAAGUGAAAGUCUCUCAGUCAUAUCUGACUCUUUGCAACCCCAUGGAAUAGUCUAUGGGAUU